ACAAAGCCUGUCCAGAUUGCAUAUUUGAAGUCUGUUUUGAAGGUUUUCAUACUUGGUGAAAACAUAAAGCCCAAUUUUAGCUUUGCAGGUUUGCAUUUCCUUUUUUUUUUUUUUUUUUAAAAAUUUUUUUCUGCGAAAAUCCUUUAAAAAGAAAAAAAAAGCUUUAUACAGCUGGGCACAGUGACUCACGCCUGUAAUCCCACCACUUUGGGAGGCUGAGGAGGGUGGAUCACUUGAGGUCAGAAGUUCAAGACCAGCCUGGCCAACAUGGUGAAACUCCGUCUCUACUAAAAAUACAAAAAUUAGCUGGCCAUGGUGGCGUGCACCUAUAAUCCCAGCUACUUAGGAGGCUGAGGCACGAGAAUCACUUGAAGCUAGGAGGCAGAGGUUACGGUGAGCCGAGAUCACGCCACUGCACUCCAGCCUGGGUGACAGAGUGAGACUAUGUCUCAAAAAAAUAAAAAGGCUUUCUAACUUGCUAC
RNAcentral lists this long non-coding RNA (482 nucleotides) under Pan troglodytes (chimpanzee). RNAcentral's name for it is "lincRNA". Lineage: Eukaryota; Metazoa; Chordata; Mammalia; Primates; Hominidae. The record is from RNAcentral.